Molecule: ribosomal RNA, 447 nt
Filed under: uncultured bacterium
Lineage: Bacteria
Description: SSU rRNA
Rfam family: Bacterial small subunit ribosomal RNA
Source: RNAcentral
AGAGCGAACGCUGGCGGCAGGCCUAACACAUGCAAGUCGAGCGGCCGUAGCAAUACGGCAGCGGCAGACGGGAUAGUAACACGUGGGAACGCGCCCUUCGGUUCGGAAUAACUCAGGGAAACUUGAGCUAAUACCGGAUACGCCCUUACGGGGAAAGAUUUAUUGCCGAAGGAACGGCCCGCGUCCGAUUAGCUAGUUGGUGAGGUAAUGGCUCACCAAGGCUACGAUCGGUAGCUGGUCUGAGAGGAUGACCAGCAUCACUGGGACUGAGACACGGCCCAGACUCCUACGGGAGGCAGCAGUGGGGAAUAUUGGACAAUGGGCGCAAGCCUGAUCCAGCCAUGCCGCGUGGAUGAUGACGGCCUUAGGGUUGUAAAGUCCGUUUUAACGGGGAAGAUAAUGACGGUACCGUAGAAUAAGCCCGGCUAACUUCGCGCCAGCAGCCGC